Molecule: long non-coding RNA, 206 nt
Organism: Panicum virgatum (switchgrass)
Lineage: Eukaryota; Viridiplantae; Streptophyta; Magnoliopsida; Poales; Poaceae
Exons: 2
Source: RefSeq, a predicted model, not a curated record
CCGAGCGCCCCCACUCCGCCCGGCCUUGCUGAAUCCUUCCAUGGCCACCCCAUCGUCCUCCCUCGCUGGAGCGCCGCCGCACGCCGCCAUCACCGCCGCCGAGGUGCUACUACCGCCGCCGGCGCCUCUCCGGUCGCCCCCAACCCCAACCAAGCCCACCUACAGAUAUGAUAGAUGAACCACGUGAAGGACGUGAUAUUGGAACC